RNAcentral lists this transfer RNA (85 nucleotides) under Hypoxylon sp. EC38. RNAcentral describes it as "tRNA-Arg". It matches the Rfam family "tRNA". From Rfam's summary of the family: Transfer RNA (tRNA) molecules are approximately 80 nucleotides in length. RNAcentral also lists the same sequence under 2 other names. Lineage: Eukaryota; Fungi; Ascomycota; Sordariomycetes; Xylariales; Hypoxylaceae. The record is from RNAcentral.
GGUCCGUUGGCCCAAUGGUAAGGCGUCUGACUACGACUACCAAUAGUUAAUCAGGAGAUUCUGGGUUCGACCCCCAGGCGGACCU